CAGCGCCACGGUAAUACGGAGGGUGCGAGCGUUAUUCGGAAUUACUGGGCGUAAAGCGCACGCAGGCGGUUACCCAAGUCAGAUGUGAAAGCCCCGGGCUUAACCUGGGAACUGCAUUUGAAACUGGGCGACUAGAGUAUGAAAGAGGAAAGCGGAAUUUCCAGUGUAGCAGUGAAAUGCGUAGAUAUUGGAAGGAACACCGAUGGCGAAGGCAGCUUUCUGGGUCGAUACUGACGCUCAUGUGCGAAAGCGUGGGGAGCAAACAGGAUUAGAUACCCCGGUAGUCCCUGUCUCUUAUACA
This 301-nucleotide ribosomal RNA is filed under the name uncultured bacterium. Its description in RNAcentral is "partial 16S ribosomal RNA". It matches the Rfam family "Bacterial small subunit ribosomal RNA", at positions 509 to 808 of the family's 1533-position model. The record is from RNAcentral.